This 682-nucleotide ribosomal RNA is filed under the name Lactobacillales bacterium BCOT-11. RNAcentral describes it as "bacterial SSU rRNA". It matches the Rfam family "Bacterial small subunit ribosomal RNA", at positions 61 to 715 of the family's 1533-position model. The record is from RNAcentral. Lineage: Bacteria; Bacillati; Bacillota; Bacilli; Lactobacillales.
GUCCUACGCUUCUUUUUCCCCCGGACUUGCUCCACCGGAAAAAGAAGAGUGGCGAACGGGUGAGUAACACGUGGGUAACCUGCCCAUCAGAAGGGGAUAACACUUGGAAACAGGUGCUAAUACCGUAUAACAAUCGAAACCGCAUGGUUUUGAUUUGAAAGGCGCUUUCGGGUGUCGCUGAUGGAUGGACCCGCGGUGCAUUAGCUAGUUGGUGAGGUAACGGCUCACCAAGGCCACGAUGCAUAGCCGACCUGAGAGGGUGAUCGGCCACAUUGGGACUGAGACACGGCCCAAACUCCUACGGGAGGCAGCAGUAGGGAAUCUUCGGCAAUGGACGAAAGUCUGACCGAGCAACGCCGCGUGAGUGAAGAAGGUUUUCGGAUCGUAAAACUCUGUUGUUAGAGAAGAACAAGGAUGAGAGUAACUGUUCAUCCCUUGACGGUAUCUAACCAGAAAGCCACGGCUAACUACGUGCCAGCAGCCGCGGUAAUACGUAGGUGGCAAGCGUUGUCCGGAUUUAUUGGGCGUAAAGCGAGCGCAGGCGGUUUCUUAAGUCUGAUGUGAAAGCCCCCGGCUCAACCGGGGAGGGUCAUUGGAAACUGGGAGACUUGAGUGCAGAAGAGGAGAGUGGAAUUCCAUGUGUAGCGGUGAAAUGCGUAGAUAUAUGGAGGAACACCAGUGG